CUUAAAACAUUGGUUCCCGUAUGAUCACCGAAGUUAAGCAACGUCGAGUCUUGUCAGUACCUAGAUGGUUGACCGCUUGUGAAUAUCGAGUGUGGUAAG
Non-coding RNA from Acanthosepion pharaonis, 99 nucleotides. NCBI's taxonomy places the organism in Eukaryota, Metazoa, Mollusca, Cephalopoda, Sepiida, Sepiidae. The record is from the annotation of a GenBank genome assembly.